This 305-nucleotide ribosomal RNA is filed under the name uncultured bacterium. RNAcentral describes it as "partial 16S ribosomal RNA". It matches the Rfam family "Bacterial small subunit ribosomal RNA", at positions 505 to 807 of the family's 1533-position model. The record is from RNAcentral.
ACAGCAGUCGCCACGGUAAUACGUAGGGUGCGAGCGUUGUCCGGAAUUAUUGGGCGUAAAGGGCUCGUAGGCGGUUUGUCGCGUCGGGAGUGAAAACCCAGGGCUUAACUCUGGGCUGGCUUUCGAUACGGGCAGACUAGAGGUAUGCAGGGGAAAACGGAAUUCCUGGUGUAGCGGUGAAAUGCGCAGAUAUCAGGAGGAACACCGGUGGCGAAGGCGGUUCUCUGGGCAUUACCUGACGCUGAGGAGCGAAAGUGUGGGGAGCGAACAGGAUUAGAUACCCGAGUAGUCCCUGUCUCUUAUAC